Molecule: ribosomal RNA, 242 nt
Filed under: uncultured Actinomycetales bacterium
Lineage: Bacteria; Bacillati; Actinomycetota; Actinomycetes; Actinomycetales
Description: partial 16S ribosomal RNA
Rfam family: Bacterial small subunit ribosomal RNA
Source: RNAcentral
UACUCGAGUGGCGAACGGGUGAGUAACACGUGGGCGAUCUGCCCUGCACUUCGGGAUAAGCCUGGGAAACUGGGUCUAAUACCGGAUAGGACCACAUUUUGGAUGGUGUGGUGGAAAGUUUUUCGGUGUGGGAUGAGCUCGCGGCCUAUCAGCUUGUUGGUGGGGUAAUGGCCUACCAAGGCGUCGACGGGUAGCCGGCCUGAGAGGGUGUACGGCCACAUUGGGACUGAGAUACGGCCCAG